UGUCCAGUAGCACCUUAGAGACCAACUAUGUUUGUUCUGGGUAUAAGCUUUCGUGUGCAUGCACACAAAAGCUUAUACCCAGAACAAACUUAGUUGGUCUCUAAGGUGCUACUGGACA
Molecule: non-coding RNA, 118 nt
Organism: Podarcis lilfordi (Lilford's wall lizard)
Lineage: Eukaryota; Metazoa; Chordata; Lepidosauria; Squamata; Lacertidae
Source: the annotation of a GenBank genome assembly